GUUCAGUAAUAUACGUACUUCUGUUCGUUUUGUUCAGCUGGAGCGGAGAAAAGAGUAAGUCCAAACCAUAUUGGAAUAUAUCACAAUGAUGUUAAGAAGAACAUUGUUCCACGAAGUGGAACUGAAAGAACGAUUUGAUGCAGAAACUCAUCGCAAUGCACAGCUCCUAACUAAGUAUGAACUAUAUCAAGUCUACACAGGACAGGUGUCCAGAAGAUGACGAUGUUGAUGCCGAAUGCGACUGUUUGGCCUUAUGAACGAAUCAUAUUGCCAAGACUUCUUGUGUGAAUAUUGUACCUUUGUUUUCAUUGUCAAUGGCCUUGAUCUAGUAUACAACUUAUCCAUUGAUCCGCUUUCAGCCCUAGGAGAUUUCAAACAAAAAUGUGCGUCUCUUUCACCUGAUUAUACGUGAGAGUGACAUGAAUGUUAUAUUUAUGAUGUAAACCAAAAUUGGCAAUUCACUGCGCAUUGAGUUUUACAUGAACCGUUGAGCUUCCUAGCAAAAGAGUCCGAAAUCUGGGUUACCUUGACAGCUGCAGCCCCAGUGGCUUCGAUUGAAGCAGCGAGUAUUGUGAGGGAUGGUGAUGCUGCCCAUACGGAUGGUUUUGCUAGUACAUGUCACCAAGAUUCUUUGGACCAUACAGAGAAUUUGUGGACUUGCUGCGACUCAAUUCACUCAAAUCUAUUAUGGAUAUGUCUCCCUUUGACCAGUGUUGCUUUUUUAAGAUGCACAUUCAAGAAUGCAGGGAGUUCAUACCAUUUGUGAGGUAAUUUCUUAUCAUGAUGUAAUCACCUUUACAAACAGAGCUUGAACAGUUCUAAAGUUCUACUUCUUUUCUAUUGUAGAAAACAUAGUAGUAGAGCAUUGUUGUUGUAAAGAGAGUUUGUUUCAAGAAAGUGCUAGGCCUUUAGCUACUACUAAUUGCUCAAACAAGUUUUUAAAACACAAAUAUUAUUU
Physcomitrium patens is the source of this 958-nucleotide non-coding RNA. The record is from RefSeq and is a predicted model, not a curated record. Lineage: Eukaryota; Viridiplantae; Streptophyta; Bryopsida; Funariales; Funariaceae.